This 433-nucleotide ribosomal RNA is filed under the name uncultured bacterium. RNAcentral describes it as "partial 16S ribosomal RNA". It matches the Rfam family "Bacterial small subunit ribosomal RNA", at positions 29 to 507 of the family's 1533-position model. The record is from RNAcentral.
AACGAACGCUGGCGGCAUGCCUAACACAUGCAAGUCGAACGAGACCUUCGGGUCUAGUGGCGCACGGGUGCGUAACGCGUGGGAACCUGCCCUUAGGUUCGGAAUAACUCCCCGAAAGGGGUGCUAAUACCGGAUAAUGUCUUCGGACCAAAGAUUUAUCGCCUUUGGUUGGGCCCGCGUUGGAUUAGCUAGUUGGUAGGGUAAAAGCCUACCAAGGCGACGAUCCAUAGCUGGUCUGAGAGGAUGAUCAGCCACACUUGGACUGGGACACGGCCCAGACUCCUACGCGAGGCAGGAGUGGGGAAUGUUGGACCAUGGGGGAAAGCCUGAUCCAGCAAGGCCGCGUGAGUGAUGAAGGCCUUAGGGUUGUAAAGCGCUUUUACCCGGGAUCAUAAUGACAGUACCGGGAGAAUAAGCUCCGGCUAACUCCGUG